Long non-coding RNA from Cyprinodon variegatus (sheepshead minnow), 315 nucleotides. RefSeq lists it as uncharacterized. The record is from RefSeq and is a predicted model, not a curated record. NCBI's taxonomy places the organism in Eukaryota, Metazoa, Chordata, Actinopteri, Cyprinodontiformes, Cyprinodontidae. The transcript is spliced from 3 exons.
GUACCAGUUUAGACAGACUGGCUGUGAUUCUAAUCUCACUGUGAAGCUUCAGAGCAGCAGCAGCAGAAGAUACACCUGCCAGUUUAUUGAGGGAAACACAGUGAAGAUAGAAGCUCACUACCAGCUGGAAGUCUUCACAGCAGUUCCUGCCAAUAACACCAUCAUCAUCAUCCUCUUCCUCAGAGCAGGGAUCUUUCUGCUUUUGCUUUUUGUUACUGCUGCUGUUUCUAUUAAAUGCAGAAAAACUAGAGUUACCGAGGAACGCCAAACAACAGAAGAUCAAGAUUCAACCCAUGAAAGCCAUCACUAUGUGAG